This is a long non-coding RNA of Triticum dicoccoides, 1356 nucleotides long. RefSeq lists it as uncharacterized. The record is from RefSeq and is a predicted model, not a curated record. The transcript has 4 exons. NCBI's taxonomy places the organism in Eukaryota, Viridiplantae, Streptophyta, Magnoliopsida, Poales, Poaceae.
UCCACCUCCCUCCUCAGCGUGGCGGUGCUCUGCGCCUCAGGAAUCACGACCGCCGCCCCCCGCCCCCUGCCUCUCCCUGGCCGUCCAUCCCAGCGCGACCGGCCUCUGCGACCAGCAUCCCGAGUCCAGCACUCCAGAUCCCUCCCCAGCAUGACCGGCCUCAGCGAGACAGCGUCCAGCAUCGUCUAGACGGCGACAGGCCUCGGCGACCAGCACGGCAGCACAUCGGCGACCGGCAGACCGCAAGAUACCCAAGGAGUAAACCUUUAAUGGAAGGGGGCAAGGGCAACCAUGGGAAGGGCAGGGGCGGGAGUGUUAGUGUCCCACGGAGAAGUUUGCGUGGUCGGCAACCAGCAGUGGAGGUUCCGUGCACCGGCGAGCAACAGGAUGUCGACCGCAGCACCAUCAGCACUGAAAACGCUCUCGAAAGCAGUGUUGCUCCUACAGUGGAUGUCUCAGGCGUGGCUGGAGCUGUUGUGGUCGCAAGUUCAACUCCAUAAGAGGGUACCAGUACAGCAGUGGAGCAACCAAAACUGACCGGCUCUAGAAGGAAGCGUACAUCAGAUGUAUGGGAUGAUUUUAAGUCAGAACUACUCAAUGGGAAAUGGCAGGCAAUAUGCAACUGGUGUCAUAAGGCAUAUGCUGGAGAAUCAACCUCUGGUACAUCACACUUAAGGACUCAUCGUAAUAAUUGUCCACCUCGGCAUGCACCAGUGGGUCCACAACAAAGUAAAUUAAAGUUGUCAAAAAGUGGGGAUGGGAAAGUAAAUUUGGAGACCUAUGUUUUUGAUCAAGAACUUGCUAGAAAGGAACUUGCAUUGAUGAUAUGUGUGCAUGAGUACCCUCUGUCUAUUGUUGAUCAUGCUGGAUUCCGAAAAUUUUGUGGUACGUUGCAACCAAUGUUCAAGGUGGUGUCUAGAAAUACCAUUAGGCAGGACAUCAUAAAUAUGUUUGGUGUCCAAAAGAAUAGCAUGGUGAAGUACUUUGCAAAGUUUGAGAACCGAGUAGCCAUCACAACAGAUUUGUGGACGGUUGUCCAUCAAAAGAGGGGCUAUAUGGCUGUAACUGCACAUUAUAUUGACGCUUCUUGGAACCUAAAGAGCUUCCUAAUGAGGUUUGUUUAUGCUCCAUGUCCACACAAUGCUGAGGUUAUAUGCGAAGCACUACAUGCAUGUCUUGUUGAGUGGCACCUUGAGAAGAAGAUAUCCACGGUGACCUUGGACAAUUGUACAUCAAAUGACAAGGCUAUGGAAAUUCUGCCAGAUAAGUUGGACACCUCUUCUCUUAUGUUGCAAGGAUCUUUGUUGCAUAUGCGUUGUGCUGCUCAUAUAUUAAAUCUGAUUGUAAAAGAUGGAU